UGCCGGGUGGAGUAAUUUGGAAACUCGCCAGGUUCUGGUCCUGGAAUUCAAGGUUCGAGUCCUUGCCCGGCAG
This 73-nucleotide transfer RNA is filed under the name Actinomycetota bacterium. Its description in RNAcentral is "tRNA-Gln". It matches the Rfam family "tRNA". From Rfam's summary of the family: Transfer RNA (tRNA) molecules are approximately 80 nucleotides in length. Their secondary structure includes four short double-helical elements and three loops (D, anti-codon, and T loops). The record is from RNAcentral. Lineage: Bacteria; Bacillati; Actinomycetota.